UAAGGAAUAUUGCGCAAUGGACGAAAGCCUGAUGCAGCAACGCCGCGUGCGGGAAGAAGGCCCUCGGGUUGUAAACCGCUUUCAGAAGGAACGAAACUGACGGUACUUUCAGAAGAAGGUGCGGCCAACUACGUGCCAGCAGCCGCGGUGACACGUAGGCACCAAGCGUUGUCCGGAUUUAUUGGGCGUAAAGAGCUCGUAGGCGGUUGCGUAAGUCGGAUGUGAAAACUCAGGGCUCAACCCUGAGACGCCAUCCGAUACUGCGCUGACUUGAAUCCAGUAGGGGAGUGUGGAAUUCCUGGUGUAGCGGUGAAAUGCGCAGAUAUCAGGAGGAACACCCAUGGCGAAGGCAGCACUCUGGGCUGGUAUUGACGCUGAGGAGCGAAAGCAUGGGUAGCGAACAGGAUUAGAUACCCGGGUAGUCCCUGAGCGGGCUGGCAAGGCGCAU
Molecule: ribosomal RNA, 448 nt
Filed under: uncultured bacterium
Lineage: Bacteria
Description: bacterial SSU rRNA
Rfam family: Bacterial small subunit ribosomal RNA
Source: RNAcentral